UGGGGAAUUUUGGACAAUGAGCGAAAGCUUGAUCCAGCAAUACCAAGUGAGUGAUGAAGGCUAAUUAGGUUGUAAAGCUCUUUCAUUAAGGAGGAAAAUGACAGUACUUAAAAAAGAAGUUCCGGCUAAUCCCCGUGCCAGCAGCCGCGGUAAUACGGGAGGAGCGAGCAUUAUUCGGAAUGAUUAGGCGUAAAGGGUUUGUAGGUGGUUUUUUAAGUUGAAAAAAACAGAUUAAAGCUCAACUUUAUAAAUUUUUUCAAAACUGAGAAACUUGAGUAUAAAUAGAGGAUAAUGGAAUUUCUAUUGGAGGGAUAAAAUAUGUUGAUAAUAGAAGGAAGGCCAAAAGCGAAGGCAAUUAUCUGGGUAUAUACUGACACUGAGAAACGAAAGCUUGGGGAGC
Molecule: ribosomal RNA, 400 nt
Filed under: uncultured bacterium
Lineage: Bacteria
Description: partial 16S ribosomal RNA
Rfam family: Bacterial small subunit ribosomal RNA
Source: RNAcentral